GACGUAGGGCGCGAGCGUUGUCCGGAUUUAUUGGGCGUAAAGAGCUCGUAGGCGGCUUGUCGCGUCGACCGUGAAAACUUGGGGCUCAACCCUAAGCCUGCGGUCGAUACGGGCAGGCUCGAGUUCGGUAGGGGAGACUGGAAUUCCUGGUGUAGCGGUGAAAUGCGCAGAUAUCAGGAGGAACACCGGUGGCGAAGGCGGGUCUCUGGGCCGAUACUGACGCUGAGGAGCGAAAGCCAGGGGAGCGAACGGG
This 253-nucleotide ribosomal RNA is filed under the name uncultured bacterium. RNAcentral describes it as "partial 16S ribosomal RNA". It matches the Rfam family "Bacterial small subunit ribosomal RNA", at positions 524 to 776 of the family's 1533-position model. The record is from RNAcentral.